GAAAUGCGAUAAGUAAUGUGAAUUGCAGAAUUCAGUGAAUCAUCGAAUCUUUGAACGCACAUUGCGCCCGCCAGUAUUCUGGCGGGCAUGCCUGUCCGAGCGUCAUUUCAACCAUCAAGCCCCCGGGCUUGUGUUUGGGACCUGCGGCUGCCCGCAGGCCCUGAAAACCAGUGGCGGGCUCGCUGUCACACCGAGCGUAGUAGCAAUCACCUCGCUCAGGGCGUGCUGCGGGUUCCGGCCGUUAAACAGCCUUACAAAACCCAAGGUUGACCUCGGAUCAGGUAGGAAGACCCGCUGAACUUAAGC
RNAcentral lists this unclassified non-coding RNA (306 nucleotides) under plant metagenome. Its description in RNAcentral is "partial contains 5.8S ribosomal RNA, internal transcribed spacer 2, and large subunit ribosomal RNA". The stretch from base 1 to 105 matches the Rfam family "5.8S ribosomal RNA", at positions 50 to 154 of the family's 154-position model. The record is from RNAcentral.